GACGAACGCUGGCGGCGUGCCUAAUACAUGCAAGUAGAACGCUGAAGAGAGGAGCUUGCUCUUCUUGGAUGAGUUGCGAACGGGUGAGUAACGCGUAGGUAACCUGCCUUGUAGCGGGGGAUAACUAUUGGAAACGAUAGCUAAUACCGCAUAACAAUGGAUGACACAUGUCAUUUAUUUGAAAGGGGCAAUUGCUCCACUACAAGAUGGACCUGCGUUGUAUUAGCUAGUAGGUGAGGUAAUGGCUCACCUAGGCGACGAUACAUAGCCGACCUGAGAGGGUGAUCGGCCAAACUGGGACUGAGGCACGGCCCAGACUCCUACGGGAGGCAGCAGUAGGGGAUCUUCGGCAAUGGGGGCAACCCUGACCGAGCAACGCCGCGUGAGUGAAGAAGGUUUUCGGAUCGUAAAGCUCUGUUGUAAGUCAAGAACGGGUGUGAGAGUGGAAAGUUCACACUGUGACGGUAGCUUACCAGAAAGGGACGGCUAACUACGUG
This 497-nucleotide ribosomal RNA is filed under the name uncultured bacterium. RNAcentral describes it as "partial 16S ribosomal RNA". It matches the Rfam family "Bacterial small subunit ribosomal RNA", at positions 28 to 507 of the family's 1533-position model. The record is from RNAcentral.